GCCCGGGUGGCGAAACUGGUAGACGCAAGGGACUUAAAAUCCCUCAGCUGAAAGGCUAUGCGGGUUCGAUUCCCGCCCCGGGCAC
RNAcentral lists this transfer RNA (85 nucleotides) under compost metagenome. RNAcentral's name for it is "tRNA-Leu". It matches the Rfam family "tRNA". Rfam says of the family: Transfer RNA (tRNA) molecules are approximately 80 nucleotides in length. The record is from RNAcentral.